This 433-nucleotide ribosomal RNA is filed under the name uncultured bacterium. RNAcentral's name for it is "partial 16S ribosomal RNA". It matches the Rfam family "Bacterial small subunit ribosomal RNA", at positions 29 to 507 of the family's 1533-position model. The record is from RNAcentral.
AGCGAACGCUGGCGGCAGGCCUAACACAUGCAAGUCGAACGGAUCCUUCGGGAUUAGUGGCGGACGGGUGAGUAACACGUGGGAACGUGCCCUUUGGUUCGGAACAACUCAGGGAAACUUGAGCUAAUACCGGAUGUGCCCUUCGGGGGAAAGAUUUAUCGCCAUUGGAGCGGCCCGCGUCUGAUUAGCUAGUUGGUGAGGUAACGGCCCACCACGGCGACGAUCAGUAGCUGGUCUGAGAGGAUGAUCAGCCACACUGGGACUGAGACACGGCCCAGACUCCUACGGGAAGCAGCAGUGGGGAAUCUUGCGCAAUGGGCGAAAGCCUGACGCAGCCAUGCCGCGUGAAUGAUGAAGGUCUUAGGAUUGUAAAAUUCUUUCAGCGGGGACGAUAAUGACGGUACCCGCAGAAGAAGCGCCGGCUAACUUCGUG